AGCGGCAGCGCGGUCUUCGGACUGGCGGCGAGCGGCGGACGGCUGAGUAACGCGUAGGAACGUACCCCAAACUGAGGGAUAACUGCUCGAAAGAGUAGCUAAUACCGCAUGUGAUCUCCGGAUUAAAGCUUCGGCGGUUUGGGAACGGCCUGCGUACGAUUAGAUAGUUGGUGAGGUAAUGGCUCACCAAGUCGACGAUCGUUAGCUGGUCUGAGAGGAUGAUCAGCCAGACUGGGACUGAGAACGGCCCAGACUCCUACGGGAGGCAGCAGUAGGGAAUUUUCCACAAUGGGGGCAACCCUGAUGGAGCAACGCCGCGUGCAGGAUGAAGGGCUUCGGGUUGUAAACUGCUUUUAUAUGUGACGAAUAUGACGGUAGCAUAUGAAUAAGGAUCGGCUAACUCCGUGCCAGCAGCCGCGGUCAUACGGAGGAUCCAAGCGUUAUCCGGAAUUACUGGGCGUAAAGAGUUGCGUAGGUGGCAGAGUAUGUCUGUAGUGAAAGCGUGUGGCUCAACCAUAUACACAUUACAGAAACUGCUCAGCUAGAGGGCGAGAGAGGUUACUAAAAAUU
RNAcentral lists this ribosomal RNA (570 nucleotides) under uncultured bacterium. RNAcentral's name for it is "bacterial SSU rRNA". It matches the Rfam family "Bacterial small subunit ribosomal RNA", at positions 65 to 669 of the family's 1533-position model. The record is from RNAcentral.